RNAcentral lists this ribosomal RNA (497 nucleotides) under uncultured bacterium. RNAcentral describes it as "partial 16S ribosomal RNA". It matches the Rfam family "Bacterial small subunit ribosomal RNA", at positions 28 to 507 of the family's 1533-position model. The record is from RNAcentral.
GACGAACGCUGGCGGCGUGCCUAAUACAUGCAAGUCGAGCGAAAAGACGAGGAGCUUGUUCCUCUGACGUUAGCCGCGGAGGGGUGAGUAACACGUGGAUAACCUACCUAUAAGACUGGGAAAUCUUCGGGAAACCGGAGCUAAUACCGGAUAAUAUAUUGCACCGCAUGGUUCGAUAGUGAAGGUCGGCGUUUCUGUCACUUAUAGAUGGAUCUGCGCCGCAUUAGCUAGUUGGUAAGGUAACGGGUUACGAAGGGAACGAGGCGUAGCCGACCUGAGGGGGUGGUCGGCCACACUGGAACGUGGACACGGUCCAUGCGCCUACGGGAGGCAGCAGUAGGGAAUCUUCCGCAAUGGGCGAGAGCCUGACGGAGCAACGCCGCGUGAGUUAUGAAGGUCUUCGGAUCGUAAAACUCUGUUAUUAGGGAAGAACAAAUGUGUAAGUAACUAUGCACGUCUUGACGGUACCUAAUCAGAAAGCCACGGCUAACUACGUG